CAGUAGUGAAGAUCCCUGGAAGAGGGAGGCCAUGAAGAGGGAUGCAGAUACCUGGCAAGCCCACCUCCCUUCUAUGCCACCUGCCAGCCUUCUCUGACAUUCCCAAACCAGGGACCAACACCGCCAAUCAGGGAAGAUUUACACGCAUUUAAUUAUAGAACCAGUUCAAGUCUCUGGAGGCUGGAUGUCCGGCCUUCACCCUGGCACAGUGGGCUGUGGGCUCUGCGGUCCAGUUGCUAGUCAGGAGACGUCCUGGUGGCCCCUGAUUCGUGUUCACGUUCACAUCACUGUUCCUGCGGUUCUCUACACAUUCACCUUGGUAUUAGCUCUCUUUGCCCCUGGUCCAGCAUACCUCUUCAGCUUCCAAGUAUGGGUCACCUUCCUUAUGUAAAUUUCCUCUUGGGACUGUAUUUUCUUUUAAAUAAAAAUUGGCCUUGUCCGAGAACUU
Homo sapiens (human) is the source of this 448-nucleotide long non-coding RNA. The record is from Ensembl. Lineage: Eukaryota; Metazoa; Chordata; Mammalia; Primates; Hominidae.